GAUGAAGAACGUAGCGAAAUGCGAUACUUGGUGUGAAUUGCAGAAUCCCGUGAACCAUCGAGUCUUUGAACGCAAGUUGCGCCUCAAGCCAUUAGGUUGAGGGCACGUCUGCCUGGGCGUCACAUAUCGUUGCCUGAUGCCAGUUUCCUCGUGAUGGGUGACUGUGCAGGGCGAAUGAUGGCUUCCCGUGAGCAUUGUUGCCUCAUGGUUGGUUGAAAAUUGAGUCCUUGGUAGGGAGCGCCGUGAUAGAUGGUGGUUGAGUGACGAACGAGACCCAAUCAUGUGAGACCCCUACCGAAUUUGGCCUUCAUGACCCACAUGCGUCUUUGGAACGCUCAUGACGAGACCUCAGGUCAGGCGGGGCUACCCGCUGAGUUUAAGCAUAUCAAGCGGAGGA
RNAcentral lists this unclassified non-coding RNA (397 nucleotides) under soil metagenome. Its description in RNAcentral is "partial contains 5.8S ribosomal RNA, internal transcribed spacer 2, and large subunit ribosomal RNA". The stretch from base 1 to 122 matches the Rfam family "5.8S ribosomal RNA", at positions 35 to 154 of the family's 154-position model. The record is from RNAcentral.